AUUGAACGCUGGCGGCAGGCCUAACACAUGCAAGUCGAACGGUAACAGAAAGCAGCUUGCUGCUUUGCUGACGAGUGGCGGACGGGUGAGUAAUGUCUGGGAAACUGCCUGAUGGAGGGGGAUAACUACUGGAAACGGUAGCUAAUACCGCAUAACGUCGCAAGACCAAAGAGGGGGACCUUCGGGCCUCUUGCCAUCGGAUGUGCCCAGAUGGGAUUAGCUAGUAGGUGGGGUAACGGCUCACCUAGGCGACGAUCCCUAGCUGGUCUGAGAGGAUGACCAGCCACACUGGAACUGAGACACGGUCCAGACUCCUACGGGAGGCGGCAGUGGGGAAUAUUGCACAAUGGGCGCAAGCCUGAUGCAGCCAUGCCGCGUGUAUGAAGAAGGCCUUCGGGUUGUAAAGUACUUUCAGCGGGGAGGAAGGGAGUAAAGUUAAUACCUUUGCUCAUUGACGUUACCCGCAGAAGAAGCACCGGCUAACUCCGUG
Molecule: ribosomal RNA, 490 nt
Filed under: uncultured bacterium
Lineage: Bacteria
Description: partial 16S ribosomal RNA
Rfam family: Bacterial small subunit ribosomal RNA
Source: RNAcentral